This 468-nucleotide ribosomal RNA is filed under the name uncultured bacterium. RNAcentral describes it as "partial 16S ribosomal RNA". It matches the Rfam family "Bacterial small subunit ribosomal RNA", at positions 28 to 507 of the family's 1533-position model. The record is from RNAcentral.
GACGAACGCUGGCGGCGUGCUUAACACAUGCAAGUCGAACGGAAAGGCCCUGCUUUUGUGGGGUGCUCGAGUGGCGAACGGGUGAGUAACACGUGAGUAACCUGCCCUUGACUUUGGGAUAACUUCAGGAAACUGGGGCUAAUACCGGAUAGGAGCUCCUGCUGCAUGGUGGGGGUUGGAAAGUUUCGGCGGUUGGGGAUGGACUCGCGGCUUAUCAGCUUGUUGGUGGGGUAGUGGCUUACCAUGGCUUUGACGGGUAGCCGGCCUGAGAGGGUGACCGGCCACAUUGGGACUGAGAUACGGCCUAGACUCCUACGGGAGGCAGCAGUGGGGAAUAUUGCACAAUGGGCGGAAGCCUGAUGCAGCAACGCCGCGUGCGGGAUGACGGCCUUCGGGUUGUAAACCGCUUUCGCCUGUGACGAAGCGUGAGUGACGGUAAUGGGUAAAGAAGCACCGGCUAACUACGUG